UGNNAAUAUUGCGCAAUGGGGGGAACCCUGACGCAGCCAUGCCGCGUGAAUGAAGAAGGCCUUAGGGUUGUAAAGUUCUUUCGGUAUUGAGGAAGGUUGAUGUGUUAAUAGCACAUCAAAUUGACGUUAAAUACAGAAGAAGCACCUGUAAAACNNCGUGCCAGCAGCCGCGGUAAUACGGAGGGUGCGAGCGUUAAUCGGAAUAACUGGGCGUAAAGGGCACGCAGGCGGUUAUUUAAGUGAGGUGUGAAAGCCCCGGGCUUAACCUGGGAAUUGCAUUUCAGACUGGGUAACUAGAGUACUUUAGGGAGGGGUAGAAUUCCACGUGUAGCGGUGAAAUGCGUAGAGAUGUGGAGGAAUACCGAAGGCGAAGGCAGCCCCUUGGGAAUGUACUGACGCUCAUGUGCGAAAGCGUGGGGAGCAAACAGGAUUAGAUACCCUGGUAGUCCACGCUGUAAACGCUGUCGAUUUGGGGGUUGGGGUUUAACUCUGGCGCCCGUAGCUAACGUGAUAAAUCGACCGCCUGGGGAGUACGGCCGCAAGGUUA
This 547-nucleotide ribosomal RNA is filed under the name uncultured bacterium. Its description in RNAcentral is "bacterial SSU rRNA". It matches the Rfam family "Bacterial small subunit ribosomal RNA", at positions 356 to 896 of the family's 1533-position model. The record is from RNAcentral.